CAUUAAGUGGCUGAUAAUAAGCCCUGGUCUCUUAAACCAAGUCAUAGUAAUAUACUCUUAAUG
This 63-nucleotide transfer RNA is filed under the name Nocticola sp. JW1 9/1. Its description in RNAcentral is "tRNA-Lys". The record is from RNAcentral. Lineage: Eukaryota; Metazoa; Arthropoda; Insecta; Blattodea; Nocticolidae.